ACAACGCGACCCCAGGUCAGGG
RNAcentral lists this ribosomal RNA (22 nucleotides) under Ficus septica. RNAcentral's name for it is "partial 28S ribosomal RNA". Lineage: Eukaryota; Viridiplantae; Streptophyta; Magnoliopsida; Rosales; Moraceae. The record is from RNAcentral.